This 513-nucleotide ribosomal RNA is filed under the name uncultured bacterium. Its description in RNAcentral is "partial 16S ribosomal RNA". It matches the Rfam family "Bacterial small subunit ribosomal RNA", at positions 30 to 523 of the family's 1533-position model. The record is from RNAcentral.
AUUGAACGCUGGCGGCAUGCCUAACACAUGCAAGUCGAACGGCAGCACGGUGGGUAGUAAUACUCAUGGGUGGCGAGUGGCGGACGGGUGAGUAAUGCAUAGGAACCUGCCUACCAGAGGGGGAUAACUUGGGGAAACUUGAGCUAAUACCACAUGAAGUCUGAGGACCAAAGAGAUGGGAACCUGAGAGGGUCCAUUUGCUGAUAGAGGGGCCUAUGUCGGAUUAGCUAGUUGGUGGGGUAAAGGCCUACCAAGGCGAAGAUCCGUAGCUGGGCUGAGAGGAUGGCCAGCCACACUGGGACUGAGACACGGCCCAGACUCCUACGGGAGGCAGCAGUGGGGAAUAUUGGACAAUGGGGGCAACCCUGAUCCAGCAAUGCCGCGUGAGUGAAGAAGGCCUUUGGGUUGUAAAGCUCUUUAGUGGGGGAGGAAGGAAGUUUUGUGAAUAGCGAAAUUUUUUGACGUUACCCCAAGAAUAAGCACCGGCUAACUCUGUGCCAGCCGCCGCAGUAA